UUCAUGUUCAUAAAAAUUUUAAAGUUCUAUACUUAAUUUCUUAGAAGUUUCAAAAGAUAGGUAUUAUUAGUCUUAUUUUGAUAUAAAUUCCUUUGGUGACUUUCUUUACCUGUGCCUCAUAGGGAAUUACGGACUGUAUUUCACUAUAUAAUUGUCGCAGAUUUCAUGCCAAUUUUUUUGCAAAAAGGUGGGGUAUGACCAUUAUACAGAUUUUUUUUUUUUUUUUAAGUGCUGGUAUUACUUGAAAUUCACUUAUUACUAAAUAUCUUUGGUGCAAGAUUAGGAUGCACAGGAUACUUGUGAAUAUGUUAAAAUUAAGUAGCUCAAAUCCGUGCACAUCAUUUCUUUGUGACAGUUUAGAGAAUAUGUUUGUUUAAAACAAGUUAACACAUUACUUGUUAUUAAUUCCUGCAUUAGAAUCAAAAUAUUACAAAAGAAACUUUACUCAAGAAAAUUUAGUACAGUGUUGCAAAAUAUGAACUUAGGAAAUUUAAUCUGAGUCAGAUCUUGCUGGGUUAUGGUUAGUUUUUUUAUCUGAUGUGAAGUCCUCGGUGCCUCAGGAAAGGUGUGCUUACUGAUGGUACUGCAGUGUUCUAAACAAAAUCUGUUUUCAGAAAUACACUGACAAGCAUAUCAAAAUCCUAAGUAACUGUUUUAACCCACAUUUAUUUUUUAAAGUGUACCAUAGUUUAAAAGCUCGGUAAAUUUGAAUUGACCAAACUUCUGUUCCUAUCAUAGGUAAAUUAUUUAGUAGUUAAAAAAAAAAAAAGCAUUGGGUUUAAAUCAGAAAAGUUCAGGUCCCAGCUUUAUAGUGCUAAGUGGCCCUGGGCAAGUCACUCAGCGUCUUCAGAUCUGCUUCAUCUGUAAUUGAUAUUUUAUGAACUUAUAAAAUGAGCUUUAUGGUUGGGUGAUAAUUAGGUUAUAGUUUCAUAAACUUUAAUAUACAUAUAUCCUCAGCCUUUUUUAUUUUUUAUCUGGAGACAGGAUUUUGCUGGGUAGCUUAGCUGAAGCUGACCUUGAACUUGGAAUCCUCCUGCCUCAGCCUACUGAGCCUCUGGUAUUACAGGCAUGCACAACCACUCCUGGCUGAAUUUAUAAUUUGUUUAUUCACAUUGAAAUGUUUAGGAGUUAACAGGGAGAGUAGGAAAUGUUUAUAAAUGAAGGGGAAUAAAGAAAUUUUCAGUGAAUUUAUUCAAGAGAAAGGCAGGAAAUUUAAAUGAUAGUCAUUAUAAAGUAAAGUCUAAACAGCUAAUUGUAAGGAAAGAUAUACCAAAUUUUAGCAAAGUUUAUGCAUUCUUAUUACUUAAUAGCUAGACUCAUCAUUUGCUGUAUUUUAGCUAGUAAAAUUAUAUACAUACGAUUCUUGGGCUGUUCAUGGGGCUCAGCGGUAGAGUGCUCACCUAGCAUAUUCAAGGCACUGGGUUUGAUCCUCAGCACCACAUAAAACAAAAUAAAUAAAGGUAUUGUGCCCAACUACAACUAAAAUAUAUUAAAAAAGAUUCUCAGUUUAUAUAUUGUCAUUUAAUCUUUUAAAUAAUUAUAUAAGGAACACGGUAACUUUAGUAAUUUUGUAUGUGAUUUGAUUUUGAUGUGA
This 1594-nucleotide long non-coding RNA is filed under the name Marmota monax (woodchuck). The record is from RNAcentral. Lineage: Eukaryota; Metazoa; Chordata; Mammalia; Rodentia; Sciuridae.